UGCGGCCAGUCAGAUGGCAGGGGCCGCUUUAAUUUGGAUAAGCCUUCUCCGAAAGGAGCCCUGCUGAUGUAAUAACGGGGAAAAUCCCUGUGUGAAAGGCCCUGAAACUGACGGGCUGGGAAACGCUGAUUCCCCGUGGGCAGGAAUGCUUGUCUAAUCGCGACGGCUCUGCACAGCUCCUGCCCAGGUAUGAAGUGCAGCGGCUUGCACCAGUGCUAGGGCGGAGAUGCACUGUUUGCCCGACUGUUUGGGGUGUGUCAGGGGCUCUGCUUAGAACUCGCACAAUUCUGAACGGAGGAGGAGAAAGUCCAGUUACUGAAGGGCAGAAUUUCCAUGCGCCUGCAGCCUCCAAAUCCAGACCACCCCCGAAUUCACCUCUGACAAAAUUCUGGGGACGCUGGGUACCCUGAAUCACCAUGGGCAAUGAGAACAGCACCUUGGACAACCAGCAGGAGGACGCCGGCUUGCAUAACGUCAUCCUGUGGCCUCCAAACCCUGAGCCCCCACAG
Long non-coding RNA from Rhinopithecus roxellana (golden snub-nosed monkey), 509 nucleotides. RefSeq lists it as uncharacterized. The transcript is spliced from 3 exons. NCBI's taxonomy places the organism in Eukaryota, Metazoa, Chordata, Mammalia, Primates, Cercopithecidae. The record is from RefSeq and is a predicted model, not a curated record.